CCGACGGGGGGAACUGACUCAACCUUACACAAUAAAUUUUAACUUAGGGUAAAAAUGCCCCAAUAAUUUAGAAAGACGACAAGACCCUAUAAAACUUUACCUCCUAGCUUUUCUUUUAUAUAGUAUUCUCUAUAAAAGCUUAGUGGUUAGCUGGGGCGGCCAACCCCCUCCGGGGGGAAAAAUAACACCUUGUGUGACCCCAAGAACCCCCUUUCGUAGGAAGAUCAAGUUACUUUAGGGAUAACAGCGUAAUUGUUUCUUAGAGCCCCUAUCGAUGAAAUAGUUUACGACCUCGAUGUUGAAUUGGGGAACCUUUUGGGAGCAGCCCCUCAUGAAGGAAGUCUGUUCGACUUUUAAUCCCCCACAUGAU
RNAcentral lists this ribosomal RNA (370 nucleotides) under Excirolana braziliensis. Its description in RNAcentral is "partial 16S ribosomal RNA". It matches the Rfam family "Bacterial large subunit ribosomal RNA", at positions 2004 to 2604 of the family's 2925-position model. Lineage: Eukaryota; Metazoa; Arthropoda; Malacostraca; Isopoda; Cirolanidae. The record is from RNAcentral.